GCCACGGAGCAAAGCUUUGGAUCUCAAGAGGUGUCUUUCUGUUGUCAGCUGACCCCCAGGAUGCUCCACAAACUUGAUCUCAGAACCAGAAGCAGAAAAAUUGGACUCAUCUUUCCACUAAGAAAUGAGGCUUCCCUCAGGAGUUCAAACUGCUUGCAAGGUUUGGGCCUUCUGUGAUGAACUCACAAACAUACCUGUGGGAGAAGAGUGAAAUGUCCCCAAGUCUAGUGGAGUUGAAGAGGCAUCAAAUCAGGAAUUCAAGCCUGUAGCCAAUGAACUUUCCGCCCCCGUUAUGAGAAACAAUGCGCAGAAUCCCAAGGACUUCCCCGGGGGAGGAUUCUGCCUGCGCACAACUUAUUUUGUCUUAAGAAAACAAAACUCUUGUGACGUCCUUCCCCCCCAGUAAAGUCAGUGACUUUCAACUUCCUUUCCCUUCCCAAGUCCUCGCAGAACUUUAGGCAAAUUACAGCAGGAACAUUUGAUCUUCUCCCCAGAUGUUUUGAUCACAGAAGGGCCACAUAUGUGCACACAUUCCUGGAUAUUUUUAGAUUUUUACAGGCUCCAAAGUUCUAACUGCGUUUUCACUCUGCUUUUUGUGGCCGCUGUCUGGAGAUGCUCUGCCAAGGCAGCAGAGGCAGAGGCUGAUGGAAGAGGGCCUGGCACAGGGUACGCUCCCCAAACAGCCUCACUCAGUGACACUCCCAGAAGUUGCUCUGAGCAAUCCUUGCAGGCGGCAUGUCUUCAGUCUCUGAGGCCUCUCUGGCCACUAAGAGGAAACAAACCACUGCCAUUUAGGAAUUAUGGGUUACACAGAGUCUCCCUAUAAGAAUUCCAGCUGCAUGUCCCCUAAAAAACAUACCAAGACCUCAACAAAGAGGAAUAGCAGGUACAGUGGAGGGAAUAUUGGGCAAAAAGUCAGGAGCUAUGCCACUGGCUGGCUAUAUGACCAGGUACUUUGCUCUACAGGGUUCUAGUUUCUCUAUCUGCACAACAGAAUGCAUCACACAUUGUAGCCCAGGGGUCUGCAAACUACCGCCUGCAGGUUGGCUGCCUAUUUUUGUAAAUAAAGUCGUAUUGGGACAAAGCCAGUCCCAUUUGUUUGCAUAUUAUCUGUGGCUGAGCUACCAUGGCAGAGUUGGCUAGUUGUGACAGAAAACACAUGGCCCACAAAUCUAAAAUAUUCACUCUCUGGACCUUUAAAAAAAAGGUUGCUGACCUCUGAUGAAGCAGAUGCUGCAUUCACCAUUCCAAGAUGUGCCAAACGCAUCCCACUGCCACCGCUGGGACUCUCGUCCUUCCUCCUGGGGGAGGGGCGAUAGAAGUUAAUGUCCCCAGAAGCAGCCCUCAGCCAACGACGGAUGGACAUUGGGGGUCAUUCCCCAGCUCCCUCACCUCGCAUGUGGGAAAAUCCUGAAGUGUGUUUCCUGUUGUCUCCUAGAUGGCCCCAGAAGCCUACAACAGUAACCUCCUCAUCACCACACCCUGUAUUGUCCUCCUUCCGGUCCCUGUCUCCCCUCUCCUACCAGUGCUUUCCUGGUUCCAUUCCCCCAGAACCUCUUGCACUUCUGUCAUGGACUCAGGGUCUGCUUCUGAGAGUGUGCGGCCUAAGACAGAACACGAGUCUGGUAUACCUCCUGCUUUCCCUCCGCGACUGGCAUCCCACUGCAUUAAGCUGUGCAUGGACUUCCCGGCUUCGAUGAAAUGCCACAAGAGAGAACAUGGGAUGUGUUUUCCUGGAUGGCCCACAGUGAUGAUGACACGCCUUGGAAGUGCAGGGGAGUGUGUUCUCCGUGGCGUACACCUUGACCAUAAGAGGGAAACUGACAGACACAUGUCCCCUGCUGUCCCUCUCCUUGAACUUCUAUGAAGUGGGGUCUCUCUUUGCAACCUUCCAGGGAGUUUUUGUGUGCUAAGAAAUGCAAAGAAUACUGUGUUUCUUUGGCACCUCCUCGAAUAGUUGUAUAGUGGUUACCUGAGUAAUAACCCAGACAUCUUCCUUUGUCUCACUUACCAAUUUUUUUCUUAACUUUGACCAUCCAGAGUUUGUACCUCCCAAGGAAAAUCUCAGUACUUUACCCUUGCCUCAGGCUCUGCUUUCCAGAGGACGUGAGCUAAGGCAAGGAGUUGGUUUAAAUAUCUCUAAGGACUCUUUCAGCUUUGACAUACUAGCCUUGCACUAAAUUCCAUUCUUCACAUACCAAGGGAUAAGAAAAAAAAAUUUUGUAUCUACUGUACUGGACACGAAACACCAUUUAAUUUUCAUAGAGAUUAGUUUCUGAGGUAUGCUGGGAAUCUUGUGUGUUACGAUACAAAUCAGACCA
This is a long non-coding RNA of Hipposideros armiger (great roundleaf bat), 2321 nucleotides long. RefSeq lists it as uncharacterized. Lineage: Eukaryota; Metazoa; Chordata; Mammalia; Chiroptera; Hipposideridae. The record is from RefSeq and is a predicted model, not a curated record. The transcript is spliced from 3 exons.